This 429-nucleotide ribosomal RNA is filed under the name uncultured Enterobacteriaceae bacterium. RNAcentral's name for it is "bacterial SSU rRNA". It matches the Rfam family "Bacterial small subunit ribosomal RNA", at positions 355 to 774 of the family's 1533-position model. Lineage: Bacteria; Pseudomonadati; Pseudomonadota; Gammaproteobacteria; Enterobacterales; Enterobacteriaceae. The record is from RNAcentral.
UGGGGAAUAUUGCACAAUGGGCGCAAGCCUGAUGCAGCCAUGCCGCGUGUAUGAAGAAGGCCUUCGGGUUGUAAAGUACUUUCAGCGGGAGGAAGGUGUUGUGGUUAAUAACCGCAGCAAUUGACGUUACCCGCAGAAGAAGCACCGGCUAACUCCGUGCCAGGCAGCCGCGGUAAUACGGAAGGGUGCAAGCGUUAAAUCGGAAUUACUGGGCGUAAAGCGCACGCAGGCGGUCUGUCAAGUCGGAUGUGAAAUCCCCGGGCUCAACCUGGGAACCGCGUUCGAAACUGGCAGGCUAGAGUCUUGUAGAGGGGGUAGAAUUCCAGGUGUAGCGGUGAAAUUGCGUAGAGAUCUGGAGGAAUACCGGUGGCGAAAGGCGGCCCCCUGGACAAAGACUGACGCUCAGGUGCGAAAGCGUGGGAGCAAACA